Molecule: small nuclear RNA, 111 nt
Filed under: Dasypus novemcinctus (nine-banded armadillo)
Lineage: Eukaryota; Metazoa; Chordata; Mammalia; Cingulata; Dasypodidae
Source: RNAcentral
GUGCUUGCUUUGGGAGCACCUAUACUAAAAUUGGAACAUAACUUGCAGAGAAGAUUAACAGAGCCUCUGUACAAGGAUUACACUCAAAUUUGUGAAGCAUUCCAUAUUAAA